CAGUCUCUUUCAGCCUGAGCCCGAGACACUGGCACAGUUUUACUUCCACUAUGCUUUAUUGGUCAAAGCAGUCUCUGAGCCCACCCAGAUUCUGGGAAAGAAGGACAUUGACACCACCUCUUGAUGAGAUAAUGUCAAAGAAUUUUGACCAUCUUUAAAGCACCACAACGCAUGUUGGAUAUUCUAUAUUCCUGAGUGAAAGAAGACUUCAAUUUGGUCACAUGAACAAACUAUUUCUGUGUUUUACAAGGGCAAUAGUAGGGAAAGGAGGUGGUAGUAAUAUCAGAAUUUCCAUCAACUCUUCUGUCUUCGUUGCUGUUUAUCAAGUAAUGUUCUUCAAACAAACUGGAGUUGCUAUGCCUUGAUAUGGUAUAAAUGAGUGUGUUUUGGAUACAAAUACACAUGGUAAAGGUAAUAUGACAGAGUCUCUGCUUGCUCUGUCACCCAGUUUGGAGGGCAGUGGCACGAUCGUGGAUAACUGCAGCCUCGACCUCCCAAGCUGAAGCAGUCCUACCACCUCAGCCUGCCAAGUAACUGGGAUUACAGGUGCACACCCCCAUUCCUGGCUUUCUUUGUUUUUUCUGGUAUAGAUGAGGUGUUGCUGUGUUCCCCAGAUGGUCUCAAACUCCUAGGCACAAGUGAUCUUCCCGCCUUAGCCUCCCAAAUUGUUGGGAUUACAGAUGUGAGCUGCUACGCCAGGCCUAGAGCAUAAAUUCUCAGAUUACUUGAAUGUGUUUCAUGGGUAAACCUGCUUUUAGACUUCAAUAAUACUACUUACCAGAAUAAUGUUCCAGAGGCAAUUUAGUAUAUGUUGGUCAUCAGUGUUUAGGAAUUGGGUAACCAAACCAGCAAGCUUAAAGUAACGGACAAGGAGUGCAGAGCAAUGGUUAUGAGCACACAUUCUGCUUUGGGGAAUUUGCGCAACGUGACCUUGGGCAAUUUACCUAGCCUCUCUCUGCCUCAAGUUCCUCACCUGUAAAAGGAGGAUAACAGAACUACCUCUUAAGAUUGCUGUGAGGAUUCAUGAGGUAAUAAUAUAUGUAUCACACGAUAUUGUGAACAUUAAUCCUGGCACAUAGUAAACACUCAGACAUCAACGUGAAUACUCUGCCCAGUUUUUAAGUUGGUGUAGACUCCAGAUGAACCAUAAAACUGGUGGAAGUUUUAAAAUAAUGCCCAUUUCUAGAGGUGGAAAAAAAUAGCAAGAUCAAAGAGCCCUGGCCUCUAUGAAGGGAUUGUGAAAGAGGAGAGAGAUAAUUAAGCAUUUGGUUUGUACCAAGGAGGAAACACGUUUAAUUUAUAGCAGGAAAGGCUUAGUUUCAAGUUGGUAGACUUCCUGGCACAUUGCGCUGUAAGAUACUAUUGAGCUGAAAAUUGCAAAGAAAGGAGAACUUACUCAAUGUCAGUCAAGAUGGCAUUAGUAAACUUGGAAGCUUCCCUGCAUCUUUUUUGGAUAUGAAGUAUAAUGAUUUGACAUAAAUAUACUACUGCCUAAAACAAAAGAGCUGGAUUCUACCACUAUUAGAGUCACUUAACAGGGAGAAUCACUUCACCCUGGGUCUCCUGAUAGCAAUUCAGUAACUAAGUUCCCUUGGUUGAGUUCCAAGACCAGUAAUUCUUAUAAGGAGGUUCACUCUAGAGCAAAUAGUGUUUAUGGUGAUGUUUAAGCCUUACCCACAUUCAAUUUGAAUUACAAUGGAAAGUAAAAGUAUUUGACAUCUAAUAAUCCAUUUACAUUUGUUAGUGAUCUCAAUUUAAAUCACCGUGCCUAUGGCCUGACAGAUGAGUUACUAGAUUUUGAUUUUCCUGAGGUUUAUAAUGUUUUAAAACUCAUUAACAUUUUAAAUAUUUACUAUCUCAUUUUAUUACAUAAAGCAGCACACAAACAAACUGAAAAUUAUUUCUAAACCAAAUUUAAUCCAGAACAGUUAUUAAAACAAUAUAUGUUAAAAAAUGACAUUUUAAAAAGCAAAUGUGAAGAAGAUACAGAGAAAUACUGGAGUAUCCAUUGUCAGAAUGAUUUAAUUUCAGUUCAAAGGGAUUUGAAGAUCAGUUAAUUUGUCCAUCCUUCGUCAUGUUAUACACAGGCUGCCUCUUUGCAUGUUCCUUGAAGUUGUGCAGGACAGAGCCUGUGUGGCCUCGCCCAGUGCCCUGGUGAUAGAUGGGAAAAUGGACUUAAAUGCACUUGCCCCAGGCUUCUUAAAAUGUUUGAUUUCUUGUUGACUUCUUGGGUGCUUUCCAAACUCCACAGUGUUGAAAUAAAAGUUGACCUGCUAAAUCUAAAUUCACAUUCUAUACCAGGACAUGUUGUCUGGUUAAAAUGAGAACCUUGGAGGAUAUUAUAUUAAGUGAAAUAAUCCAGGCAUAGAGAGACAAAUACUGCAUGUUCUCACUCAUUUAUGGAAGGCAAAAAAGUUGACCUCAUGGAAGUAGAGAGUAGAAUAGUGGCUCCUAGAGGCUGGGAAAGUUGUGUGUGUUAGGGGUGGGGUGGUAGGGAGCUAGCCAGAGGUUGAUUAGCAAAUACUAAGUUACUGCUAGAUAGGAGGAAUAAAUCUUAGUGUUCUAUGGCACUAUAGAAUGACUAUAACUAACAAAAAUUUACUUUCAAUUUUUGUGAAUAAUUUAUAUUCAAAACCUACAAGAGUGGAUUUUGAAUGCUCCCAACACAAAGAAAUAAAGUUUUGAGGUGAUGAAUUUGCUAUUUACCCUGAUUCGAUCCCUACACAGUGUGUAGGUGUGUCAAAAUAUCACAUGGUACCCCAUAAGUAUGUACAAUUAUUAUGUCAAUUAAAAAUAAAAGGAAAUAAUCACUAGUGAAGACAAAACUGAUUUAAAUCUUAAAAACUUUAUGCUCUCCAAAUAUCUAAAUGCUUUCAAAACAGAAUUUCAAAAUGCAUCCAGAGGAAGGACAUAGAAUAGAGUAGAAAAAAUAGUGCAUAGCUGUUUGGAUAGCAAUAGCAGUAAACCUGUUUUUUUAAAAAAUGAACAGUUCCCUUGAGGUAGAAAGUAGGUAGGAGCACGUGGAAGAAGCUCAGGCCUGGAGCCAUUUGGUGGCAUCAACCUCUGGUGAUUUGAGAGCUGCUCUGCCACCUGCGGUGCUCUCAGCAGUUCCUGUCUCAUUGUCUUAAUUUUAUGGGAUCCUGGUUUAGGUAACCUCACAGAAGCAACGAUUCUUUGAGGAAUCUAUAAAAUGUAACUUAGAGAAGUCAUUGAGCGAUAGCUGAAGGAGACACUGGGGAAAAUUGAGAAUGUGAGCAACAGCAAGCAGAGGUAGCACUAAGAUAUUUAUUUUUGCAUUUGCGGAAAUGCAUCUAACUUAUAUGUUAUGUAACUUGUAUCCUUUGGACUUCAAAAUGCAUUGAAAUAUAUGCAAAUAGAAACUUUUAACCUCUUUUUCUUUUCUGUCCUGGUGAAUUAUUUGUACCAUGGUCAUUGUGAUACAAUUUCUGACAUUUAUCCACCAUGAAGGGCAAGAAAUAUCAUAUACUUCUUUGGCAUUCCUUACAUGUACAGCAUUAUGAUGGGGGUAGGACAGAGUUUUAUUACAUUUGUCUCAUAUUAUUAAGGUAAAGGAAAGGGAGAGAUGAAUCCCUAGUUUUCUAGGUUCCUGUUUAUUGUCCCAAAUAUACCAUGUAUGUGUUUUUUCAUUUGUCAAAGCUUAUCAAUUGAGUGUGAAACUCUAUUUUCAUUCAUAGUCCACAAAGACUUACUCUAAAUUGCAACCUAUUGCAGUGGAAAACAAACAAAGAAAAACAAAAACAGGCUGGCUGGCACUGAAAGUGCUGGCAGGCUGAAGCAGUAAUCUGUUGGUAAUUUUAUAAGAUUUCUUUGCUGAUUACUAUUUGGGCAGUGUCCACAUCACUGAUGAGUUCACACACUCACAGCUGUUCUAGGAGCAAGACAACAUCUCCAAAAACAGACAAGGAUUAUUCUGACCAUUUAAAAAGCUGGUUCCUGCUAAUAGUAUUGUUGAUGAUCUUCUACGAGAAUUUCAAUUAAAUGAAAAUCAAAUGCCAGCUCUCAGAGGCCAUAUGGUGUCAUGAAGGAAAAGCCGCACACCCAUAGUCAAGGAGCCCUGGUUCCUGCCCUGGCAUUGCCAACAACUAACUGAGAAAGACAGUGAUCAGCUCAUGCAUGCACAGACCUAGGCAAAGAUCUUUAGAAUCAGAGAGAAAGGACCUGCUGCUGUGGUAACCCAAAGAAACUGAGGAAAAGCUUAUAUUAGACUGAGAAGAAGAACAGACACAUCUGAGAGGACAGAAAGGAAGGAUUGGGCUCGAAGAGAAAACUGCAGAGAACACCUCCAAGUGCGGAAACAAUAACUCAUUAGUGCCUAUAGAAUGCCAAGCACUUUUUAAAAAUAACUCAUUAAUAUUUUUAUUGGAACAUGUAAUGAAUCGAUCACCAUCCUUUCAAAUUUCAUGCAUUGACAUCACUCAGCAGUUGCCGCAUUGCAAUGCCAAAGGGCCAAGCACUUUCAUCUAGUAUUUCUAAUAGAUAAAACAAACUUCCACCAGAAUGUGUAAUUGCGGUUGUUGAGGAAACUGAGAUUCAGAGAGGUUGAAUUCUUGGAGACACACAGCUGCUGCAUGGCACCCCUCCUCUUACUGGAGAUUUGGGCAAAGCUUUCAGAUGAUUCAAGCUCUCCUGAGUGAAGGGAGCCUAUCGACUAUGAAGAUUCUCAUUCUGUGUAGUCUGAAAUGUUCUCACUUGACGGUAAAAUGCUUCCUAUUCUUUACAUAGCUUGCACUGAGAAGAGAGCUACCAAAAAGAAGGAAGGAAGAGAGGAAGAAGAGGAGGAAUCUGAGAGAAGAAAGUAAAGAAGAAAGGAAAAGGUAGAAAGAAAAUAAACUAAAAGGUACAGGGGCCUGUUUUCUCCAGAUGUAAUAACUGCUUCAAAGGAAGCUUCAGACCAGGAGCAAGUAACUUUGCCAAGUCAAGGAACUGCAAAAUGGACACUCCACACUACAGAAAGCAUUUAUUUUGAAGAAUUAGAUCUAUUUUCUUCAUUUGCCUGGUAAAUUCAGGCUAGUUUUCACCAUAAUAUUAUUAUAACUUUUAUACAAGAUCUGCUAUAAAAUUUUAUGUAAACUAAGUGUUUAAUAAUAGGGACCCACAGAACAAUUCUAGGAUGUUAAAUUCUUUUCAGAGAGGAAAGCUAAGCGUGGCCAUUGUACAUGUGUGUUUAAUGAUCUUCUGUGCUUGCUAUUAUAAUUAUAUCACAGUCAUUAGUUUACUCACAAAGACUUGCAAAUACGAUAUAUGAAUAUAGAAUAUAUUACUAUUAUAAUAAUUUUUUCUUGAGACAAAGUACUGCUUUGU
Long non-coding RNA from Homo sapiens (human), 5322 nucleotides. RefSeq lists it as uncharacterized. The transcript is spliced from 3 exons. The record is from RefSeq and is a predicted model, not a curated record. Lineage: Eukaryota; Metazoa; Chordata; Mammalia; Primates; Hominidae.